GGGGCCAGGCUGGAGGCCCAGAAGGCCUGGAACAGAGUGGGCCAGCUGUUGAGCCUCACGCUGAGCUAGGUGGGCACGCCCCUCCUCUACUCCUCCAGACUUCUGUGGCUCAGAUCCAGAGCAGACGACAUUGGAGGGUCCUUGGGAUGGAGGAGGGAGACACAGCCCUGCCAGGUCUGACCCCCACCCCGCCCCCACACAGCUGAGUGAGCAGCCUGUGGGACGGCUGAGACACUCCAGGCUCCUGCUUGCCUCGGGGAGCCCCUAAGGAGGGGUAGGAGCAGGCAGCUUCUCAAGCCGCAGGCAUUGCGAGCCCCUCCAUUCUCUAGGAAGACAGCAGGGGCCACUGUACAUCUGCCGGGUGACGACAGGGCAGGAGAGAUUUUGGCACCCUAAGGGGUCUAAAGUGCGGACCAGGAGCCAGAGUCUCGCUCUCAGAAGGAAGCAGAAGGCCGAGUGUGUACUGAAUUUGGACUGAGGGACCCAGGCUCUCCGAGUGGGGGGUGGGGCCGCCUCCGGCUCUGGAGCCGCAACACUCCGGGUCCCCGCCCGCCACCGACGGCCGGUGCUGACCGUGCUGCCGCAGCCCCCAGCGCCGGCUCGAAAGCUGCGCACCCGGGGCCGCGGCCUCCAGCGCUCCCAGCCCAACCCGUCCGCGAGGUGGAUGCAGGCUGCGGUGGUCAGAGAGGGACGCCGGAGACACACAGAAGCACGUAGGGAAUCGGAGAGGACCAGAGAGAGGAGACGGUUGUGGAAAGGGAUUCAGAGAGACAGGAGAGAGGGGGACCGGGGAGCCGCAGACACCGAUCUGGCGGCCACGGGAGGGGUGCGCCUCGCACGCACACACGCGCGCGUACACCGGCUCACACCCGCUCGCUACACACGGCCACACACGCCCCGCGCCUCCGCCGCGCCGAUUCCCUCCAACAAAGCCGAGUUACAACCGCCCAGGAGGGAGCCGGAGCGCGUCGGCGCCUCGCGCGUACCGAGGGUCGUGGUCGUGUGAUCGGCUUCUUGGGUCCCCUCAUCGCGAACCCUCUCCCUCCCUCCCGGGCAUGGCGCGCAGCCUUAGGAAUCACGCGGGCCCCGUUUAGCGUCCGUGACCCCAAGGGGACCCCCGCCACGGUGACCAGCGCACCGAGUCAGCCGUGACCGGGCGGGGCCAGGCCUCUCGCCCCCCGACUUACCUUGGU
Molecule: long non-coding RNA, 1193 nt
Organism: Mesocricetus auratus (golden hamster)
Lineage: Eukaryota; Metazoa; Chordata; Mammalia; Rodentia; Cricetidae
Exons: 3
Source: RefSeq, a predicted model, not a curated record